AGCCACCAGUCAGCUCCACUUUUUCCAUCUGCCUGCUCAGCUCCCUACCCCUCGGCUUCCUCUCUCCCACCGUUUCUCCCCCCAUUCCUUCUUUUCUCAAUUCAUCUCCUCAAAGGGCACAUCCUGGCUCUUUUCUGGCAGGUCCAGCAGGAGCCUUGGCCAGUAUCUCAGGCUUGGUGUCUCCUCAUCCCCUGGAGCAAGGAGCAGGCUGCAGAGCAAGUCCCAGAGCAAGGCUCUGCCUUUCUUCCAACCACCGUGUCAAGAAAUAAAGGCUGGAUAAUGGAAACGGAGUCUUUGAACAGUGACAUUCAUCUGAAGACGCAGCAGCACAGAGAGACCACACAGCUCCUGGGGGAACAACUCAAAGUAGAAGAUGCAAGGAACGCCGCUGCGCUGGAGAGCACAGGGACACGACGGCGAGGAAAGCAGAGAUUUGGCUUUUAUGACACUAUUUACAGGUUUUCCACUUUAAAAAAACCGGCGGGUUUGAUUAAAUAUAAGUAUAGAACAUUUCUUCUUCCAUAUACAAACUCAUGUUAGCUGAUUAAUUACUAAGGUGCUCAGAAGUGUGGCUGAAAACAGAAGUUACAGUAGAUCAGUUGUGUUUGUCUCUAUUUACACCGGCAUCUUCCAAAGAAGCUGGAAGCAAAGAGGUGGCCAGUUAUGAAUCUAAUGUUGUUUUUCUUCACAGCAUCUUUGUCAGAAGAAGGUAAAAUAGUAGUAUUUUCACUCUUUUUUUUUAUUCACAAAGGUGGGUGCCCUCGCUGGGUCUGUGUUACCGGUGGUGCCAGGCACCAUCACACCCCGAGACACCCUGUUUCUACCUCUCGACUCCUGUCCAGCCCUUACCACCAGAACUUGCUGGUCUGCUGGGCAGCUGCCCGAGACAGGACUUGCAGCACCAGGUUUUUGUGUUGAAAAUGCGUCGUACGGGGCCUCCUACGGAACUCGGAGAUCUCCUCCGUGCAACAGAAGGGAGAACUUAUGUGUGAGGAACCAAACAAAGAGAAUGCACUCAGCAAAAAUUUUGCCUUCCAAUCAGAAAAAAUAAAAUCCCAAGUGGCCCAUGUUUUUUUUUUGAG
RNAcentral lists this long non-coding RNA (1082 nucleotides) under Calidris pugnax (ruff). RNAcentral's name for it is "lncRNA (ENSCPUG00000010908.1)". Lineage: Eukaryota; Metazoa; Chordata; Aves; Charadriiformes; Scolopacidae. The record is from RNAcentral.